UGGUGGAGGAUCAAAGGCCUCCUCGAGACGUGCAGCGGUCCCAUAGGGAACUCCACUAUCAUUCACGUUAAUUAAUUAAAGGGUCGUCCGGGGAAGUGCAUGUGAGGCUUGG
This is a non-coding RNA of Ceratotherium simum simum (southern white rhinoceros), 112 nucleotides long. The record is from RefSeq and is a predicted model, not a curated record. NCBI's taxonomy places the organism in Eukaryota, Metazoa, Chordata, Mammalia, Perissodactyla, Rhinocerotidae.